Molecule: ribosomal RNA, 468 nt
Filed under: uncultured bacterium
Lineage: Bacteria
Description: partial 16S ribosomal RNA
Rfam family: Bacterial small subunit ribosomal RNA
Source: RNAcentral
GACGAACGCUGGCGGCGUGCUUAACACAUGCAAGUCGAACGGAAAGGCCCUGCUUUUGUGGGGUGCUCGAGUGGCGAACGGGUGAGUAACACGUGAGUAACCUGCCCUUGACUUUGGGAUAACUUCAGGAAAAUCGGGCUAAUACCGGAUAGGAGCUCCUGCUGCAUGGUGGGGGUUGGAAAGUUUCGGCGGUUGGGGCUGGACUGGAGGCUUAUGAGCUUGAUGGGGGGGUAGGGGCUUACCAAGGUUUUGAAGGGUAGGCGGCAUGAGAGGGUGACCGGCCACAUGGGGACUGAGGGACGCCCCAGACGCGUACGGGAGGCAGCAGGGGGAAAUAUUGCGCAAUGGGCGGAAGUGUGAGGCAGCAACGCCGCGUGCGUGAUGACGGCCUUCUGGUUAUAAACCGCUUUCUCCGUAGACGAGGCGGUAGUGACGGUAAUGGGUAAGGAAGCACCGGCUAACUACGUG